RNAcentral lists this ribosomal RNA (254 nucleotides) under uncultured bacterium. RNAcentral describes it as "partial 16S ribosomal RNA". It matches the Rfam family "Bacterial small subunit ribosomal RNA", at positions 524 to 776 of the family's 1533-position model. The record is from RNAcentral.
UACAGAGGUCCCGAGCGUUGUUCGGAUUCACUGGGCGUAAAGGGUGCGUAGGUGGUGAGGUAAGUCGGAUGUGAAAUCUCCGGGCUCAACCUGGGAACUGCAUUUGUGACUGCAUCGCUGGAGUGCGGCAGAGGGGGAUGGAAUUCCGCGUGUAGCAGUGAAAUGCGUAGAUAUGCGGAGGAACACCGAUGGCGAAGGCAAUCCCCUGGGGCCUGCACUGACGCUCAUGCACGAAAGCGUGGGGAGCAAACAGG